RNAcentral lists this ribosomal RNA (301 nucleotides) under uncultured bacterium. RNAcentral's name for it is "partial 16S ribosomal RNA". It matches the Rfam family "Bacterial small subunit ribosomal RNA", at positions 509 to 807 of the family's 1533-position model. The record is from RNAcentral.
CAGCAGCCACGGUAAUACGUAGGUGGCAAGCGUUGUCCGGAAUUAUUGGGCGUAAAGGGCUCGCAGGCGGUUUCUUAAGUCUGAUGUGAAAGCCCCCGGCUCAACCGGGGAGGGUCAUUGGAAACUGGGAAACUUGAGUGCAGAAGGGGAGAGUGGAAUUCCACGUGUAGCGGUGAAAUGCGUAGAGAUGUGGAGGAACACCAGUGGCGAAGGCGACUCUCUGGUCUGUAACUGACGCUGAGGAGCGAAAGCGUGGGGAGCGAACAGGAUUAGAUACCCGCGUAGUCCCUGUCUCUUAUAC